GGGGCGAAAGACUAAUCGAACCGUCUAGUAGCUGGUUCCCUCCGAAGUUUCCCUCAGGAUAGCUGGAGCCCGGGUGCGAGUUCUAUCGGGUAAAGCGAAUGAUUAGAGGCAUCGGGGGCGCAACGCCCUCGACCUAUUCUCAAACUUUAAAUAGGUAGGACGGCGCGGCUGCUUCGUUGAGCCGCGUCGCGGAAUCGAGAGCUCCAAGUGGGC
RNAcentral lists this ribosomal RNA (213 nucleotides) under Cyclophora tenuis. RNAcentral's name for it is "partial Eukaryotic large subunit ribosomal RNA". It matches the Rfam family "Eukaryotic large subunit ribosomal RNA", at positions 920 to 1131 of the family's 3401-position model. Lineage: Eukaryota; Bacillariophyta; Fragilariophyceae; Cyclophorales; Cyclophoraceae. The record is from RNAcentral.